CCAGAGAGGAGGUGGAGCGUUGCCAAAGUCUGGCAGGACCGUAGGGCUUUAGGGCCUGGAAAACACCACUAAGACCUAAGGAGACCGGGUCUAGGUGGGACGGGAAACUUCACGGAAGUCACAGGAACCAUGCAGAGCGGUUGUGCUGACAUUCAGUGACACGGCUGUGGACUUCUAACAGGAGGAGAGGGAAUUCCUAUAUCUUGCUCAGAGGACUUUGCACAGAGGCCUGAUGCUGGAGAAUUACAGCUGUCUUGUUUUUGUUGGUGAAGUGAAUUUUCAGUGAACUGAAAAGAAGUUUCUUGAAAAAGAGAGAAGACUGUUUAUGUGUUUCCCAGAAAGGAAACUCACAGAAGGAGAGAGAUGGCUUCGGUUCAGGAUCCAUUGACAUUCAAGGAUGUGUCCAUAGACUUCUCCCAGGAGGAGUGGGAAUGCCUAGACUCUACUCAGAGGGCUUUGUACAGGGAGUUGAUGUUGGAGAACUACAGCAAUCUGGUGUCUAUAGGU
This is a long non-coding RNA of Nannospalax galili (Upper Galilee mountains blind mole rat), 507 nucleotides long. RefSeq lists it as uncharacterized. Lineage: Eukaryota; Metazoa; Chordata; Mammalia; Rodentia; Spalacidae. The record is from RefSeq and is a predicted model, not a curated record. The transcript is spliced from 4 exons.